Molecule: ribosomal RNA, 568 nt
Filed under: Pichia kluyveri
Lineage: Eukaryota; Fungi; Ascomycota; Pichiomycetes; Pichiales; Pichiaceae
Description: eukaryotic LSU rRNA
Rfam family: Eukaryotic large subunit ribosomal RNA
Source: RNAcentral
AAACCAACAGGGAUUGCCUCAGUAGCGGCGAGUGAAGCGGCAAGAGCUCAGAUUUGAAAUCUCACCUAGUGUGCGAGUUGUAAAUUGCAGGUUGGAGUCUCGGGUUAGACGUGUGUGCAAGUCCCUUGGAACAGGGCGCCACUGAGGGUGAGAGCCCCGUAGCGUGCAUGUCGACACCUGUGAGGCCCUUCUGACGAGUCGAGUUGUUUGGGAAUGCAGCUCUAAGUGGGUGGUAAAUUCCAUCUAAGGCUAAAUAUUGGCGAGAGACCGAUAGCGAACAAGUACUGUGAAGGAAAGAUGAAAAGCACUUUGAAAAGAGAGUGAAACAGCACGUGAAAUUGUUGAAAGGGAAGGGUAUUGGGCUCGACAUGGGAUUUACGCAUCGUUGCCUCUCGUGGGCGGCGCUCUGGGUUUUUCCUGGGCCAGCAUCGGUUUUCGUUGCAGGAUAAGGACAAUUGGAAUGUGGCUCCUCGGAGUGUUAUAGCCUUUUGUAGAUGCUGCGUAUGGGGACCGAGGGCUGCGGCGGACUCGUUUCGUCUCGGAUGCUGGCACAACGGCGCAAUACCGC